This 452-nucleotide ribosomal RNA is filed under the name Streptococcus sp. oral taxon C14. RNAcentral's name for it is "bacterial SSU rRNA". It matches the Rfam family "Bacterial small subunit ribosomal RNA", at positions 30 to 476 of the family's 1533-position model. Lineage: Bacteria; Bacillati; Bacillota; Bacilli; Lactobacillales; Streptococcaceae. The record is from RNAcentral.
AUUGAACGCUGGCGGCAGGCUUAACACAUGCAAGUCGAACGGUAACAUAAAGAAGCUUGCUUCUUUGAUGACGAGUGGCGGACGGGUGAGUAAUGCUUGGGAAUCUAGCUUAUGGAGGGGGAUAACUACGGGAAACUGUAGCUAAUACCGCGUAAUAUCGAAAGAUUAAAGUGUGGGACCUUCGGGCCACAUGCCAUAGGAUGAGCCCAAGUGGGAUUAGGUAGUUGGUGAGGUAAAGGCUCACCAAGCCGACGAUCUCUAGCUGGUCUGAGAGGAUGACCAGCCACACUGGGACUGAGACACGGCCCAGACUCCUACGGGAGGCAGCAGUGGGGAAUAUUGCGCAAUGGGGGCAACCCUGACGCAGCCAUGCCGCGUGAAUGAAGAAGGCCUUCGGGUUGUAAAGUUCUUUCGGUAGCGAGGAAGGCAUUUAGUUUAAUAGACUAGGUGAU